This 2222-nucleotide long non-coding RNA is filed under the name Homo sapiens (human). RNAcentral describes it as "metastasis associated lung adenocarcinoma transcript 1". The stretch from base 502 to 596 matches the Rfam family "Metastasis associated lung adenocarcinoma transcript 1". The record is from RNAcentral. Lineage: Eukaryota; Metazoa; Chordata; Mammalia; Primates; Hominidae.
UGUGUGUAAGCAAGUUUUUUUUUAGUGUAGGAGAAAUACUUUUCCAUUGUUUAACUGCAAAACAAGAUGUUAAGGUAUGCUUCAAAAAUUUUGUAAAUUGUUUAUUUUAAACUUAUCUGUUUGUAAAUUGUAACUGAUUAAGAAUUGUGAUAGUUCAGCUUGAAUGUCUCUUAGAGGGUGGGCUUUUGUUGAUGAGGGAGGGGAAACUUUUUUUUUUUCUAUAGACUUUUUUCAGAUAACAUCUUCUGAGUCAUAACCAGCCUGGCAGUAUGAUGGCCUAGAUGCAGAGAAAACAGCUCCUUGGUGAAUUGAUAAGUAAAGGCAGAAAAGAUUAUAUGUCAUACCUCCAUUGGGGAAUAAGCAUAACCCUGAGAUUCUUACUACUGAUGAGAACAUUAUCUGCAUAUGCCAAAAAAUUUUAAGCAAAUGAAAGCUACCAAUUUAAAGUUACGGAAUCUACCAUUUUAAAGUUAAUUGCUUGUCAAGCUAUAACCACAAAAAUAAUGAAUUGAUGAGAAAUACAAUGAAGAGGCAAUGUCCAUCUCAAAAUACUGCUUUUACAAAAGCAGAAUAAAAGCGAAAAGAAAUGAAAAUGUUACACUACAUUAAUCCUGGAAUAAAAGAAGCCGAAAUAAAUGAGAGAUGAGUUGGGAUCAAGUGGAUUGAGGAGGCUGUGCUGUGUGCCAAUGUUUCGUUUGCCUCAGACAGGUAUCUCUUCGUUAUCAGAAGAGUUGCUUCAUUUCAUCUGGGAGCAGAAAACAGCAGGCAGCUGUUAACAGAUAAGUUUAACUUGCAUCUGCAGUAUUGCAUGUUAGGGAUAAGUGCUUAUUUUUAAGAGCUGUGGAGUUCUUAAAUAUCAACCAUGGCACUUUCUCCUGACCCCUUCCCUAGGGGAUUUCAGGAUUGAGAAAUUUUUCCAUCGAGCCUUUUUAAAAUUGUAGGACUUGUUCCUGUGGGCUUCAGUGAUGGGAUAGUACACUUCACUCAGAGGCAUUUGCAUCUUUAAAUAAUUUCUUAAAAGCCUCUAAAGUGAUCAGUGCCUUGAUGCCAACUAAGGAAAUUUGUUUAGCAUUGAAUCUCUGAAGGCUCUAUGAAAGGAAUAGCAUGAUGUGCUGUUAGAAUCAGAUGUUACUGCUAAAAUUUACAUGUUGUGAUGUAAAUUGUGUAGAAAACCAUUAAAUCAUUCAAAAUAAUAAACUAUUUUUAUUAGAGAAUGUAUACUUUUAGAAAGCUGUCUCCUUAUUUAAAUAAAAUAGUGUUUGUCUGUAGUUCAGUGUUGGGGCAAUCUUGGGGGGGAUUCUUCUCUAAUCUUUCAGAAACUUUGUCUGCGAACACUCUUUAAUGGACCAGAUCAGGAUUUGAGCGGAAGAACGAAUGUAACUUUAAGGCAGGAAAGACAAAUUUUAUUCUUCAUAAAGUGAUGAGCAUAUAAUAAUUCCAGGCACAUGGCAAUAGAGGCCCUCUAAAUAAGGAAUAAAUAACCUCUUAGACAGGUGGGAGAUUAUGAUCAGAGUAAAAGGUAAUUACACAUUUUAUUUCCAGAAAGUCAGGGGUCUAUAAAUUGACAGUGAUUAGAGUAAUACUUUUUCACAUUUCCAAAGUUUGCAUGUUAACUUUAAAUGCUUACAAUCUUAGAGUGGUAGGCAAUGUUUUACACUAUUGACCUUAUAUAGGGAAGGGAGGGGGUGCCUGUGGGGUUUUAAAGAAUUUUCCUUUGCAGAGGCAUUUCAUCCUUCAUGAAGCCAUUCAGGAUUUUGAAUUGCAUAUGAGUGCUUGGCUCUUCCUUCUGUUCUAGUGAGUGUAUGAGACCUUGCAGUGAGUUUAUCAGCAUACUCAAAAUUUUUUUCCUGGAAUUUGGAGGGAUGGGAGGAGGGGGUGGGGCUUACUUGUUGUAGCUUUUUUUUUUUUUACAGACUUCACAGAGAAUGCAGUUGUCUUGACUUCAGGUCUGUCUGUUCUGUUGGCAAGUAAAUGCAGUACUGUUCUGAUCCCGCUGCUAUUAGAAUGCAUUGUGAAACGACUGGAGUAUGAUUAAAAGUUGUGUUCCCCAAUGCUUGGAGUAGUGAUUGUUGAAGGAAAAAAUCCAGCUGAGUGAUAAAGGCUGAGUGUUGAGGAAAUUUCUGCAGUUUUAAGCAGUCGUAUUUGUGAUUGAAGCUGAGUACAUUUUGCUGGUGUAUUUUUAGGAACACUCAGCAGACACACGUAUGCGAAGGGCCAGAGAA